UACGUAGGUGGCAAGCGUUGUCCGGAAUUAUUGGGCGUAAAGCGCGCGCAGGCGGCCUUUUAAGUCUGAUGUGAAAGCCCACGGCUCAACCGUGGAGGGUCAUUGGAAACUGGGGGACUUGAGUGCAGGAGAGAAGAGUGGAAUUCCACGUGUAGCGGUGAAAUGCGUAGAGAUGUGGAGGAACACCAGUGGCGAAGGCGACUCUUUGGCCUGUAACUGACGCUGAGGCGCGAAAGCUAGGGGAGCAAACAGG
Molecule: ribosomal RNA, 253 nt
Filed under: uncultured bacterium
Lineage: Bacteria
Description: partial 16S ribosomal RNA
Rfam family: Bacterial small subunit ribosomal RNA
Source: RNAcentral